UGAGUUUGAUCCUGGCUCGAGGACGAACGCUGGCGGCGUGCCUAACACAUGCAAGUCGAACGGAAACUAUUCGAGAAUUUCGGUUCAUGAAUAGUUUUAGUGGCGGACGGGUGAGUAACGCGUGAGAAUCUGCCUUUGAGUGGGGAAUAACAGUUGGAAACGACUGCUAAUACCGCAUAAUAUGGAAACAUCAAAGAGGGUGCAAGCCCUCGCUCAGAGAUGAGCUCGCGUCUGAUUAGCUAGUUGGCAGGGUAAGAGCCUACCAAGGCGACGAUCAGUAGCCGGCCUGAGAGGGUGAACGGCCACAUUGGAACUGAGACACGGUCCAAACUCC
RNAcentral lists this ribosomal RNA (334 nucleotides) under uncultured Syntrophomonas sp. RNAcentral describes it as "bacterial SSU rRNA". It matches the Rfam family "Bacterial small subunit ribosomal RNA", at positions 1 to 339 of the family's 1533-position model. Lineage: Bacteria; Bacillati; Bacillota; Clostridia; Eubacteriales; Syntrophomonadaceae. The record is from RNAcentral.